RNAcentral lists this ribosomal RNA (253 nucleotides) under uncultured bacterium. Its description in RNAcentral is "partial 16S ribosomal RNA". It matches the Rfam family "Bacterial small subunit ribosomal RNA", at positions 524 to 776 of the family's 1533-position model. The record is from RNAcentral.
UACGUAGGGUGCGAGCGUUGCCCGGAAUCAUUGGGCGUAAAGGGCGCGUAGGCGGCCCGGUAAGUCAAAGGUGAAAUCCCUCGGCUCAACUGAGGAACUGCCUUUGAAACUGUCGGGCUUGAGGCCGGGAGGGGGUGGCGGAAUUCCCAGUGUAGCGGUGAAAUGCGUAGAUAUUGGGAGGAACACCAGUGGCGAAGGCGGCCACCUGGACCGGUUCUGACGCUGAUGCGCGAAAGCGUGGGUAGCAAACAGG